This 253-nucleotide ribosomal RNA is filed under the name uncultured bacterium. RNAcentral describes it as "partial 16S ribosomal RNA". It matches the Rfam family "Bacterial small subunit ribosomal RNA", at positions 524 to 776 of the family's 1533-position model. The record is from RNAcentral.
UACGUAGGGUCCGAGCGUUGUCCGGAAUUAUUGGGCGUAAAGGGCUCGUAGGCGGUUUGUCGCGUCGGGAGUGAAAACUCAGGGCUCAACCCUGAGCGUGCUUCCGAUACGGGCAGACUAGAGGUAUUCAGGGGAGAACGGAAUUCCUGGUGUAGCGGUGGAAUGCGCAGAUAUCAGGAGGAACACCGGUGGCGAAGGCGGUUCUCUGGGAAUUACCUGACGCUGAGGAGCGAAAGCAUGGGGAGCGAACAGG